AGUGUAAUUCCUGGAUCACAUGGUAAUUCUAUUUUUAAUUUAAUAAAUCACUAUGCUAAUUUCCACAAUGGUUGCACCAUUUUAUAUUCCCACAACAGU
This 99-nucleotide microRNA precursor is filed under the name Marmota monax (woodchuck). Lineage: Eukaryota; Metazoa; Chordata; Mammalia; Rodentia; Sciuridae. The record is from RNAcentral.